Long non-coding RNA from Tympanuchus pallidicinctus (lesser prairie-chicken), 794 nucleotides. RefSeq lists it as uncharacterized. The record is from RefSeq and is a predicted model, not a curated record. The transcript is spliced from 3 exons. NCBI's taxonomy places the organism in Eukaryota, Metazoa, Chordata, Aves, Galliformes, Phasianidae.
AAAAACACGUCAAAAUCAGAAACGCUGUGACUGAGAAGUGUUCCUGCCAAUGUGUUAAGCAUUACCACAGCACCACCAUAUCACACCAGUGAGCCCUCACUGAACUAUUCACUUCUGGGCAGAGUCAAAGACAGCCCCAUCUGAAGCAGCAUAUAAUUUAGAUGUUAUCAGUCUCACUACAUAAAAAAAAAAGAAAGCACAGCAGCACAGAGACAGCAGAUGUAAAGACAGGAAGUCUGCAGCAGAGCAAAGACAUGAACCUGUACUUGCUCUCAGGGGAUGUGCAUUCUUGGGCAAAAGAGAUUUCCCUAAGGGCAGGAUAACAGCUAAAUGAAAUGUAAAUGCAGGGAUUGCAUUAAGAUGCAGACCAUGUCUGCUGAAACUACUGCCUGCAAUGCUCCUUCAUGCCUGCAAUCAACAAAACAAACUUAGCACAGUUGUUGAAGAGAACAGAGGAUGCCAGCUUGUGUUCCUCCAUCUCACAGCUGUUCUUACCUGUGCCAACACCUGGAAAGCAAAAAGAUUUUUUGUGCUGUAAGAAACUGUUUGUACCAUAUAUUCUGCAACAGAAUGUUCGAAUAUCCAUGACAUUUCCCUGCAUUAUUUAGCGUUUCUUUUCCUUAUUAAAUUUUCAUCCCUAAGACCUUAAGUUCAUUUUACUGGCUUCACGCAUUUCAAAAACCACAAUUCUUUUAAACAAAGCUUCAGAUAUGCUGUCCUUCUGAAAAUCCAGGGCAUAUAAAAUCUGAUGCAGUCCACUCUGCAUGUUUCCCAGGGCUAAAGCCUUUUUUACA